This 72-nucleotide transfer RNA is filed under the name Bacillus thuringiensis Bt407. Its description in RNAcentral is "tRNA-Glu". It matches the Rfam family "tRNA". Rfam says of the family: Transfer RNA (tRNA) molecules are approximately 80 nucleotides in length. The record is from RNAcentral. Lineage: Bacteria; Bacillati; Bacillota; Bacilli; Caryophanales; Bacillaceae.
GUGGCCCGUUGGUCAAGUGGUUAAGACACCGCCCUUUCACGGCGGUAACACGGGUUCGAAUCCCGUACGGGU